RNAcentral lists this ribosomal RNA (497 nucleotides) under uncultured bacterium. RNAcentral's name for it is "partial 16S ribosomal RNA". It matches the Rfam family "Bacterial small subunit ribosomal RNA", at positions 28 to 507 of the family's 1533-position model. The record is from RNAcentral.
GAUGAACGCUGGCGGCGUGCCUAAUACAUGCAAGUCGAGCGAACAGACGAGGAUCUUGCUCCUCUGACGUUAGCGGCGGACGGGUGAGUAACACGUGGAUAACCUACCUAUAAUACUGGUAUAACUUCGGGAAACCGGAGCUAAUACCGGAUAAUAUAUUGAACCGCAUGGGUCAAUAGUGAAAGACGGUUUUGCUGUCACUUAUAGAUGGAUCCCCGCCGCAUUAGCUAGUUGGGAAGGUAACGGCUUACCAAGGCAACGAUGCGUAGCCGACCUGAGAGGGUGAUCGGCCACACUGGAACUGAGACACGGUCCAGACUCCUACGGGAGGCAGCAGUAGGGAAUCUUCCGCAAUGGGCGAAAGCCUGACGGAGCAACGCCGAGUGAGUGAUGAAGGUCUUCGGAUCGUAAAACUCUGUUAUUAGGGAAGAACAAAUGUGUAAGUAACUAUGCACGUCUUGACGGUACCUAAUCAGAAAGCCACGGCUAACUACGUG